CUCUCCUCACACACCCUUCCUUGCCCCAUUAAGAGGUUCCUGGAAACCCUUCUCAGAGAAAGGAAGAGGGAGGAGGGGAAUGAGGGGGGAAAAAAGAACUUAAUGAAGAAAAUGGUUUUGCGGGGGAGGGGGGGUUACUGAGAUGCAGGAAGUUGGGGCUUUGGUGUUGGGAAGAGAAAAAGGGGGGUCUAGGACCUGGGGGCUCUAGUAAUUUUCCCAUCCUGUCUCACCACCAUAAAGCUGUUGGGGUAGAGUUGUAGGGGGUCAGAUAUUUUGAACACAGUCUCCUCAGAGAAGGAGAUGAAAGCCUGCACAUUACCCUCCACCAAAUGCUCAUUCACAUCCAAUAAAUAUUUAUUGAGCACCUACUAUGUGCCAGGCACUAUUUUAGAAGCUGAGGGAAAAAAGCAGUGAAUUAUACAGGGGAAAAAAGCAGCCAUGUACAAGUUUGGAAGUUACCUUAGUCCCCCCAGUAGGACCUUGGACUCCAGGCUAACACCCCUCAAGAGAAGACUCUGGGAUGGGACUCAAGAAAUCCUAGCCUCGCCUGGCCAGUUGGUUGGGCAUAGUCCUGUGCAUCCAAAGAUCACUGGGUUCCAUUCCCGGCCAGGUCACAUACUCAGGUUGCGGGUUCAAUCCCCAGUCAUGGAGAGUGCGGAGGCAGUGGAUCAAUGUUUCUUUCUCUCUUCAAAUCAAUAAAAACAUUUUGAAAAAUAAAA
This is a long non-coding RNA of Pipistrellus kuhlii (Kuhl's pipistrelle), 719 nucleotides long. RefSeq lists it as uncharacterized. The transcript is spliced from 2 exons. NCBI's taxonomy places the organism in Eukaryota, Metazoa, Chordata, Mammalia, Chiroptera, Vespertilionidae. The record is from RefSeq and is a predicted model, not a curated record.